This 266-nucleotide ribosomal RNA is filed under the name uncultured bacterium. RNAcentral describes it as "partial 16S ribosomal RNA". It matches the Rfam family "Bacterial small subunit ribosomal RNA", at positions 28 to 292 of the family's 1533-position model. The record is from RNAcentral.
GAUGAACGCUAGCGGCAGGCCUAAUACAUGCAAGCCGAACGGCAAGAACUUUAGCAAUAGAGUUCCUAGAGUGGCGUAAGGGUGCGUAACACGUAUGCAAUCUGCCCGCAACAGGAGGAUAGCUCCCCGAAAGGGGAAUUAAGACUCCAUAAGAUCACAGGAAGGCAUCUGAGAGUGAUUAAACUACCAGGGGUUGCGGAUGAGCAUGCGCAUGAUUAGUUAGUUGGCGGGGUAACGCCCACCAAGACGAUGAUCAUUAGGGGAAC